GUAACGGUUUGGCUCGUCUGAUGCAGUCGAGCGGAAACGACACUAACAAUCCUUCGGGUGCGUUAAUGGGCGUCGAGCGGCGGACGGGUGAGUAAUGCCUAGGAAAUUGCCUUGAUGUGGGGGAUAACCAUUGGAAACGAUGGCUAAUACCGCAUAAUGCCUACGGGCCAAAGAGGGGGACCUUCGGGCCUCUCGCGUCAAGAUAUGCCUAGGUGGGAUUAGCUAGUUGGUGAGGUAAUGGCUCACCAAGGCGACGAUCCCUAGCUGGUCUGAGAGGAUGAUCAGCCACACUGGAACUGAGACACGGUCCAGACUCCUACGGGAGGCAGCAGUGGGGAAUAUUGCACAAUGGGCGAAAGCCUGAUGCAGCCAUGCCGCGUGUAUGAAGAAGGCCUUCGGGUUGUAAAGUACUUUCAGUUGUGAGGAAGGGGGUGUAGUUAAUAGCUGCAUCUCUUGACGUUAGCAACAGAAGAAGCACCGGCUAACUCCGUGCCAGCAGCCGCGGUAAUACGGAGGGUGCGAGCGUUAAUCGGAAUUACUGGGCGUAAAGCGCAUGCAGGUGGUUCAUUAAGUCAGAUGUGAAAGCCCGGGGCUCAACCUCGGAACUGCAUUUGAAACUGGUGAACUAGAGUACUGUAGAGGGGGGUAGAAUUUCAGGUGUAGCGGUGAAAU
This 672-nucleotide ribosomal RNA is filed under the name Vibrio sp. MR06-96. RNAcentral describes it as "bacterial SSU rRNA". It matches the Rfam family "Bacterial small subunit ribosomal RNA", at positions 36 to 687 of the family's 1533-position model. Lineage: Bacteria; Pseudomonadati; Pseudomonadota; Gammaproteobacteria; Vibrionales; Vibrionaceae. The record is from RNAcentral.